GACGAACGCUGGCGGCGUGCCUAAUACAUGCAAGUCGAGCGGACUUUCAAGACGCUUGCUUUUUGAAAGUUAGCGGCGGACGGGUGAGUAACACGUGGGCAACCUGCCUGUAAGACGGGGAUAACUCCGGGAAACCGGGGCUAAUACCGGAUAAUAUCUUUCUUCGCAUGAAGGAAGGUUGAAAGGCGGCGCAAGCUGCCGCUUGCAGAUGGGCCCGCGGCGCAUUAGCUAGUUGGUGAGGUAACGGCUCACCAAGGCGACGAUGCGUAGCCGACCUGAGAGGGUGAUCGGCCACACUGGGACUGAGACACGGCCCAGACUCCUACGGGAGGCAGCAGUAGGGAAUCUUCCGCAAUGGACGAAAGUCUGACGGAGCAACGCCGCGUGAGCGAAGAAGGUCUUCGGAUCGUAAGGCUCUGUUGUCAGGGAAGAACAAGUACCGUUCGAAUAGGGCGGUACCUUGGCGGUACCUGACCAGAAAGCCACGGCUAACUACGUGCCAGCCGCCGCCGUAA
Molecule: ribosomal RNA, 515 nt
Filed under: uncultured bacterium
Lineage: Bacteria
Description: partial 16S ribosomal RNA
Rfam family: Bacterial small subunit ribosomal RNA
Source: RNAcentral